Molecule: long non-coding RNA, 1595 nt
Organism: Malaclemys terrapin pileata
Lineage: Eukaryota; Metazoa; Chordata; Testudines; Emydidae
Exons: 3
Source: RefSeq, a predicted model, not a curated record
CCUGUCUCCUGACCCUGACCUCCUGAUUCCUAGUAUCUGACUGUCAGUUCAUGACCUCCUGGUUCUGAACCCUGGUUGGCAUGGGGAGAUGGUCCCUCCUACCCCAUCCUACAUUAAUCACUGGCCAACUUCGUCCCAGUGUCAACAGUUUGUAUGGAUGAUUUCCUGUUCCUCCUUCUGGCUUAAGUAGGGGGAGCGGGCCAACCAGAAGCUCCAGUGUUCCAGGCUCCGGGGUGAUGCCCACUAUCUGAGCUGGUCUUCAAGGAGUUUUGAUUCUAGUACCUGCCAGUAAGUUGUUGGCUGCAGUGUGAUGAUAGGUAAGAACGCUGUGGAUCUGGAUUCAAGUUCCAUGGAUUGCAGGGAUCUUCCCAGCAGGCAAUUGUAUUUGUACAAUCGAACUUUAAUGCCCCUUUUAAUUUUGUUUUAAACACUCAAAGGUACCUUAGCCAGCCAGGGAAUAGGAGUCCUUUUUAUUCCACCUUUUCCCAAAUCUGCAGAUUGAAUUUGCCAAACCUUAUGGAAAAACAUAAACCCCUUGAGUUCAACUGGCCCUUUGCUGAUAAGAGAAAACGGGCAUCUCUUCUAGGAGCAGAAAACAAAGAGCAGAGAUCUCAGAAGCGAGAUUUUGAUAGUUGAUGCAAGAAGAUGGGAACAGUCAGCUGUGAAGCAAGGGAUAAAAGAGGAGAUUUGAGGCCAAAGAAGUGGUGAGAACUAAGAGAAGGGAAGCAAAGUGUUUGAUCAGAGAGUGGCUGGGAACUAAAGGGUUGUGAAGUCAGAGCAGCACCCUGAGAUUUCAGGACCAUUGUGAUGGACUUGUACUUGUAAGCUCCAAGUUCAAAACUGGCUACAGGGAGAAUGGAUUUGGCAAUCUCCUCCUCAGUGUUGUCAACCUCCAGCAUUCAAAAAUCAUGAAUAGGGCCUCCAAAAUCUAGAGAUUGCCUCUCAACUCAUGACCUGUGAAAGAAAUAAUACAGUUCAGAUUCUUUUAUCUGCUUUCUGGUUUUGGAGCUUUUAGGGCCAAUUUUCAAGCUUUUCUCCACAACCCUGAUAUCUAGAACAUAAGAACGGACACACUGGGUCAGACCAGUGAUCGUUCUAGCCCAGUAUCCUGUCUUCCAACAGGGGCCAAUACCGGGUGCUUCAGAGGGAAUGAACAGAACAAGGCAAUUAUCAAGCCAUCCAUCCCUUGUCAUCCAGUCCCAACUUCUGGCAGUCAAAGGUUUGGGGAAACCCAGAGCAUGGAGUUGCGCCCUUGACCAUCUUGGAUAAUAGCCACUGAUGGACCUGUCUUGCAUUCACUUAUCUAACCCUUUUUUGAACUGUUAUACUUUUGGCCUUCACAUCAUUCCCUGGCAAUGAGUUGACUGUGUUGUGUGAGGAGAUACAUUUACAAAGAAGCACUGGGAGCUAAGGCAGUAAAUUGAAGAGCUGGUGCUAAAGUCUGAAAACUGACUCGCAAAACUGGUGUGCUGGUGAGAUCUGCAAGAAGGCGAAUAUCAGAGAGCCGCAAAAUAUGCAAAUGUGCUAUUUACCAUGUGCCCAGCCUUUAGAAUCCAGUAGAAGGCCAAGUUCUCAUAGGACUUAUGGAAAGCAGC